RNAcentral lists this long non-coding RNA (251 nucleotides) under Ananas comosus (pineapple). Its description in RNAcentral is "long non-coding RNA (ACOM_LNC020127)". The record is from RNAcentral. Lineage: Eukaryota; Viridiplantae; Streptophyta; Magnoliopsida; Poales; Bromeliaceae.
GGUUUGAUCAGAAUAACUAUUUUUAUCACUUUUUUACACUGUUUGAUAGAAAUAUAUAGCGGGAAUAAAUUUUAUUUAUUUUCGAUUUAUUCCGAAACCAAAUAAAGCUUUAGGGAGAAAGAUACGAUUUGUUCAUUUUUUUUUAAUAAAAGAUAAAUUUAGUGAAAAAUAUGAAAUAAUUAUAUUUUGAAUUUGGAACCUCGAAUACCAAUUAUUACUCGCCAAUAUAUUUAUUUACCAAUCUCUUUCUC